RNA transcript from Sus scrofa (pig), 1315 nucleotides. It is a transcript of the gene named structure-specific endonuclease subunit SLX1A, with no coding region annotated. The record is from RefSeq and is a predicted model, not a curated record. NCBI's taxonomy places the organism in Eukaryota, Metazoa, Chordata, Mammalia, Artiodactyla, Suidae.
CUCAGCACUUCCGUCCUCUCUCAAGCCCGGUUUUCCAACAAUCCUGGGGGGUUCUGCUCCUAACAUCUGUCAGCCAAUGAGAGUCUGCAUAAGGACCGAAUCGGCCCCAGCGGACGCCCAUUGGUGCCUGCCGUCUGCAUAGCAGCCUGGGUUCUGUGCGCCGGUUUGAAUACCCUAGGUCCAGCUAGGAGAGGGUGCACUAGCCUGCACUGCUGUGGCCUUUAGGGUACUCGGGAUCGCCCCAAGCGCUUUUUCCUAGACAAGCAUCUGGCAGCCCUGGCAAGCCUGCUCUCUCCAGGGUCACAGGCCAGAGCAAGUUCCAAUGGGCCCCGCGGGGGUCGCGGCGAGGGCCGGGCGCUUCUUCGGCGUCUACCUGCUCUACUGCCUGAACCCUCGACACCGAGGUCGCGUCUACGUGGGGUUCACAGUCAACCCUGCUCGUCGGGAGCAGCAGCACAACGCGGGCCGUAAAAAAGGCGGGGCCUGGCGGACCAGUGGCCGCGGGCCUUGGGAGAUGGUGCUCAUAGUACACGGCUUCCCCUCCGCGGUGGCCGCCCUUCGGUUCGAAUGGGCCUGGCAGCACCCGAAGGCCUCGCGCCGCUUGGCCCAUUUGGGUCCGCGCCUGCGCGGCGAGGCAGCCUUCGCCUUCCACCUGCGCGUGCUGGCACACAUGCUGCGCGUGCCCCCGUGGGCGCGCCUCCCGCUCACCCUGCGCUGGCUGCGCACCGACUUCCGCCAGGAUCUCUGCCCGCCACCGCCACCGCACGUGCCCCUGGCCUUCGGGCCUCCGCCGCCCCGGGCCCUGGCCCGGAAGUGCGGCGCAGUUCCCUUGGCCAGCAUGGAGUCCGAGUCCCAGCCGCAGCACGCCGCGGAGGCUCUGUGCACCGUGUGCGCUUGCGCACUCCAGGAUGAAGAGGGUCCCCUGUGUUGCCCCCACCCUGGCUGCUCCCUCAGGGCGCAUGUGAUCUGCCUGGCAGAAGAGUUCCUGCAGGAGGAGCCAGGGCAGCUUCUGCCGCUGGAGGGCCAAUGCCCUGGGUCCUGGCCUGGAGGAGGCUUGUGAUCCUGACUGUCUCAUACCAACCACACCUCUUGGUAGCUGUAAGAACUCAGUGCUGUGGGGAGACCUGGUCUGGCUGAGCCAGAUGGGCACCGAGGAGGAAGAGGACUUGGAAUUAGAAGAGGAACACUGGACUGACAUGCUGGAGACCUGAUCCUCAGCGUCCCCAACUUCCGCCCACCCUUUACCCAUUUCCCCCCCCACCGUGGCUCUGGGAAGUUUUUACUAGAGUACAAUAAAAAGUCUGAGUUAAGAGUA